RNAcentral lists this ribosomal RNA (468 nucleotides) under uncultured bacterium. RNAcentral describes it as "partial 16S ribosomal RNA". It matches the Rfam family "Bacterial small subunit ribosomal RNA", at positions 28 to 507 of the family's 1533-position model. The record is from RNAcentral.
GACGAACGCUGGCGGCGUGCUUAACACAUGCAAGUCGAACGGAAAGGCCCUGCUUUUGUGGGGUGCUCGAGUGGCGAACGGGUGAGUAACACGUGAGUAACCUGCCCUUGACUUUGGGAUAACUUCAGGAAACUGGGGCUAAUACCGGAUAGGAGCUCCUGCUGCAUGGUGGGGGUUGGAAAGUUUCGGCGGUUGGGGAUGGACUCGCGGCUUAUCAGCUUGUUGGUGGGGUAGUGGAUUACCAAGGCUUUGACGGGUAGCCGGCCUGAGAGGGUGACCGGCCACAUUGGGACUGAGGUACGACCAGGACUCCUACGGGGGGCAGCGGUGGGGAAUAUUGCACGAUGGGCGGAAGCCGGAUGCAGGGACGCCGCGUGCGGGAUGACGGCCGUCGGGUUGUAAACCGCUUUCGCCUGUGACGAAGCGUGAGUGACGGUAAUGGGUAAAGAAGCACCGGCUAACUACGUG